RNAcentral lists this ribosomal RNA (614 nucleotides) under Hepatozoon felis. Its description in RNAcentral is "SSU rRNA". It matches the Rfam family "Eukaryotic small subunit ribosomal RNA", at positions 209 to 811 of the family's 1831-position model. Lineage: Eukaryota; Apicomplexa; Hepatozoidae. The record is from RNAcentral.
AUUAGAUAAAAAACCAAUACAUGCUUUUAAAGUAUGGAAUUUGGUGAUUUACAAUAACUUAGCAAAUCGCAUAGUGAAAACAGGCGAUAAAUCAUUCAAGUUUCUGACCUAUCAGCUUUCGACGGUAUGGUAUUGGCUUACCGUGGCAGUGACGGUUAACGGGGGAUUAGGGUUCGAUUCCGGAGAGGGAGCCUGAGAAACGGCUACCACAUCUAAGGAAGGCAGCAGGCGCGCAAAUUACCCAAUUCUAACAGCAUAAGAGAGGUAGUGACAAGAAAUAACAAUACAAGGCAGUUAAAAUGCUUUGUAAUUGGAAUGAUAGAAAUUUAAACACUUUUUAAAGUAUCAAUUGGAGGGCAAGUCUGGUGCCAGCAGCCGCGGUAAUUCCAGCUCCAAUAGCGUAUAUUAAAAUUGUUGCAGUUAAAAAGCUCGUAGUUGAAUUUCUGCUAAAAAUAACCGGUCUGCUUUUAAUAAAGGUGGUAUCUUGGUGUGUUUUUAGCAAUAAUGUCCUUUGAAAUGUUUUUUACUUCAUUGUAAUAAAUUAUUUUCAGGAUUUUUACUUUGAGAAAAUUAGAGUGUUUCUAGCAGGCUAACGCUUUGAAUACUGCAGCAUG